Molecule: ribosomal RNA, 253 nt
Filed under: uncultured bacterium
Lineage: Bacteria
Description: partial 16S ribosomal RNA
Rfam family: Bacterial small subunit ribosomal RNA
Source: RNAcentral
UACAGAGGGGGCAAGCGUUGUUCGGAAUUACUGGGCGUAAAGGGCGCGUAGGCGGCCUUCUAAGUCAGACGUGAAAUCCCCCGGCUUAACCUGGGAACUGCGUCUGAUACUGGAGGGCUUGAGUGCGGGAGAGGGAUGUGGAAUUCCAGGUGUAGCGGUGAAAUGCGUAGAUAUCUGGAGGAACACCGGUGGCGAAGGCGGCAUCCUGGACCGACACUGACGCUGAGGCGCGAAAGCUAGGGUAGCAAACAGG